RNAcentral lists this ribosomal RNA (253 nucleotides) under uncultured bacterium. RNAcentral describes it as "partial 16S ribosomal RNA". It matches the Rfam family "Bacterial small subunit ribosomal RNA", at positions 524 to 776 of the family's 1533-position model. The record is from RNAcentral.
UACGUAGGCAGCAAGCGUUGUUCGGAGUUACUGGGCGUAAAGGGUGCGUAGGCGGCUUCUUAAGUUUGGUGUGAAAUCUCCCGGCUCAACUGGGGAGGGUCACGCGAUACUGAUCGACUCGAAGGCAGGAGAGGGUAGUGGAAUUCCCGGUGUAGUGGUGAAAUGCGUAGAUAUCUGGAGGAACACCGGUGGCGAAGGCGGCAUCCUGGACCGGCAUUGACGCUGAGGCGCGAAAGCCAGGGGAGCAAACGGG